This 504-nucleotide ribosomal RNA is filed under the name uncultured Glomeraceae. RNAcentral describes it as "SSU rRNA". It matches the Rfam family "Eukaryotic small subunit ribosomal RNA", at positions 569 to 1078 of the family's 1831-position model. The record is from RNAcentral. Lineage: Eukaryota; Fungi; Glomeromycota; Glomeromycetes; Glomerales; Glomeraceae.
AGCAGCCGCGGUAAUUCCAGCUCCAAUAGCGUAUAUUAAAGUUGUUGCAGUUAAAAAGCUCGUAGUUGAAUUUCGAGACCGGUUUAUUGGUCGUGCUUUUGUACGUACUGGUAUAAUCGGUUUCUCUCUUCUGACGAACUAUAAUGCCAUUAAUUUGGUGUUAUGGGAAAUCAGGACUGUUACUUUGAAAAAUUAGAGUGUUUAAAGCAGGCUCACGCUUGAAUACAUUAGCAUGGAAUAACGGAAUAGGACGUUUGAUUCUAUUUUGUUGGUUUCUAGGAUCGACGUAAUGAUUAAUAGGGAUAGUUGGGGGCAUUAGUAUUCAAUUGUCAGAGGUGAAAUUCUUGGAUUUAUUGAAGACUAACUACUGCGAAAGCAUUUGCCAAGGAUGUUUUCAUUAAUCAAGAACGAAAGUUAGGGGAUCGAAGACGAUCAGAUACCGUCGUAGUCUUAACCAUAAACUAUGCCGACUAGGGAUCGGAUGAUGUUAAUUUUAAUGACUCA